Molecule: ribosomal RNA, 858 nt
Filed under: uncultured Bacteroidales bacterium
Lineage: Bacteria; Pseudomonadati; Bacteroidota; Bacteroidia; Bacteroidales
Description: bacterial SSU rRNA
Rfam family: Bacterial small subunit ribosomal RNA
Source: RNAcentral
GAUGAACGCUAGCGACAGGCUUAACACAUGCAAGUCGAGGGGCAGCAUGAUUUGUAGCAAUACAGAUUGAUGGCGACCGGCGCACGGGUGAGUAACGCGUAUGCAACUUACCUAUCAGAGGGGGAUAGCCCGGCGAAAGUCGGAUUAAUACCCCAUAAAACAGGGGUCCCGCAUGGGAAUAUUUGUUAAAGAUUCGUCGCUGAUAGAUAGGCAUGCGUUCCAUUAGGCAGUUGGCGGGGUAACGGCCCACCAAACCGACGAUGGAUAGGGGUUCUGAGAGGAAGGUCCCCCACAUUGGUACUGAGACACGGACCAAACUCCUACGGGAGGCAGCAGUGAGGAAUAUUGGUCAAUGGCCGAGAGGCUGAACCAGCCAAGUCGCGUGAAGGAAGAAGGAUCUAUGGUUUGUAAACUUCUUUUAUAGGGGAAUAAAGUGGAGGACGUGUCCUUUUUUGUAUGUACCCUAUGAAUAAGCAUCGGCUAACUCCGUGCCAGCAGCCGCGGUAAUACGGAGGAUGCGAGCGUUAUCCGGAUUUAUUGGGUUUAAAGGGUGCGUAGGUGGUGAUUUAAGUCAGCGGUGAAAGUUUGUGGCUCAACCAUAAAAUUGCCGUUGAAACUGGGUUACUUGAGUGUGUUUGAGGUAGGCGGAAUGCGUGGUGUAGCGGUGAAAUGCAUAGAUAUCACGCAGAACUCCGAUUGCGAAGGCAGCUUACUAAACCAUAACUGACACUGAAGCACGAAAGCGUGGGGAUCAAACAGGAUUAGAUACCCUGGUAGUCCACGCAGUAAACGAUGAUUACUAGGAGUUUGCGAUACAAUGUAAGCUCUACAGCGAAAGCGUUAAGUAAUCCACCUGGG